This 376-nucleotide ribosomal RNA is filed under the name uncultured organism. RNAcentral describes it as "partial 16S ribosomal RNA". It matches the Rfam family "Bacterial small subunit ribosomal RNA", at positions 527 to 896 of the family's 1533-position model. The record is from RNAcentral.
GUAGGGUGCAAGCGUUAUCCGGAAUCAUUGGGCGUAAAGAGCUCGUAGGCGGUUCAGCAAGUCGGCUGUGAAAUCCCGAGGGCUUAACCUCGGAACUGCAGUCGAUACUGCUGUGACUAGAGUCCGGUAGAGGAGAAUGGAAUUCCCGGUGUAGCGGUGAAAUGCGCAGAUAUCGGGAGGAACACCAGUAGCGAAGGCGGUUCUCUGGGCCGGUACUGACGCUGAGGAGCGAAAGCGUGGGUAGCAAACAGGAUUAGAUACCCUGGUAGUCCACGCCGUAAACGUUGGACACUAGGUGUGGCGUUCCGACCAACGGGUGCCGUGCCGAAGCUAACGCAUUAAGUGUCCCGCCUGGGGAGUACGGCCGCAAAGGCUA